RNAcentral lists this ribosomal RNA (135 nucleotides) under uncultured bacterium. RNAcentral describes it as "partial 16S rRNA". It matches the Rfam family "Bacterial small subunit ribosomal RNA", at positions 355 to 507 of the family's 1533-position model. The record is from RNAcentral.
UGGGGAAUAUUGCACAAUGGGGGAAACCCUGAUGCAGCGACGCCGCGUGAGCGAAGAAGGCCUUCGGGUCGUAAAGCUCUGUCCUAAGGGAAGAAACGGACGGUACCUUAGGAGGAAGCCCCGGCUAACUACGUG